Molecule: ribosomal RNA, 496 nt
Filed under: uncultured bacterium
Lineage: Bacteria
Description: partial 16S ribosomal RNA
Rfam family: Bacterial small subunit ribosomal RNA
Source: RNAcentral
GAUGAACGCUGGCGGCGUGCCUAAUACAUGCAAGUCGAGCGAACAGACGAGGAGCUUGCUCCUCUGACGUUAGCGGCGGACGGGUGAGUAACACGUGGAUAACCUACCUAUAAGACUGGGAUAACUUCGGGAAACCGGAGCUAAUACCGGAUAAUAUAUUGAACCGCAUGGUUCAAUAGUGAAAGACGGUUUUGCUGUCACUUAUAGAUGGAUCCGCGCCGCAUUAGCUAGUUGGUAAGGUAACGGCUUACCAAGGCGACGAUGCGUAGCCGACCUGAGAGGGUGAUCGGCCACACUGGAACUGAGACACGGUCCAGACUCCUACGGGAGGCAGCAGUAGGGAAUCUUCCGCAAUGGGCGAAAGCCUGACGGAGCAACGCCGCGUGAGUGAUGAAGGGCUUCGGAUCGUAAAACUCUGUUAUUAGGGAAGAACAAAUGUGUAAGUAACUAUGCACGUCUUGACGGUACCUAAUCAGAAAGCCACGGCUAACUACGU